RNAcentral lists this unclassified non-coding RNA (403 nucleotides) under Bactrocera latifrons. RNAcentral describes it as "piggyBac transposable element-derived protein 1-like, transcript variant X2". Lineage: Eukaryota; Metazoa; Arthropoda; Insecta; Diptera; Tephritidae. The record is from RNAcentral.
CAAAUAUAUAAGCUGUAAUACAAAUAUAUUUUACAAUAAAAAUAACUUAUCGUAUCAUUGAUACAACUUUGGAAAUAUGCCGUGGCACCUGCAGGUGACACUGGGCAAUAUAAUAACUUUACUGUUGUUUGAAUUCGUUGACGUUAGAUGAAAUUGCCGAAGAGUUGGAGGCCGGAGAUGACCCAGGCGAUAUUAUUUUAUUUCCUCCUGAUGAUGUCGCAUGCUUCAAACUCCAGUAGAAAUACAAAAGAGACUUUCCAUCUCUGGAGACAAUUGUUUAGAUAAUCUGGAAGAAGAAGGGGUAGAAGUGGAAGUACCCGCACCGAAAAAAAAGAAAAAAGAAAAUACUAUAAAGAAAUGGUACAGCAGUGUCAGCAAUACUUCUUUUAUUACUUGCGGUAAA